RNAcentral lists this ribosomal RNA (601 nucleotides) under Nasonia longicornis. Its description in RNAcentral is "partial 12S ribosomal RNA". The record is from RNAcentral. Lineage: Eukaryota; Metazoa; Arthropoda; Insecta; Hymenoptera; Pteromalidae.
AUCAGCGGUUAAACAAAAUAUAUUAAUUAAUUAUAUUAAUUUAGUAUAAAAAUAUUUUAAUUAUUAAUAUUAAUACUUAUAAUUUUUAGAUUAAAUAAAAAUUAUUAAAAUUAUUAUUAAAUAAAAUUAAUUUAAUUUAAAUAAAUAUUUUAAUAAACUAGGAUUAGAUACCCUAUUAUUAAUAUAAAAUUAUAUUAAUUAAGUAUUAGAUUUAAAUAUUAAAAUUUAAAAAUUAUGACGGUAUUAUAAUCUAAUUAGAGGAACUUGUAACAUAAUUGAUAAACCACGAUAAGAUAAAUUUAAUAUAUUUAAUAUUUUUGUAUGUUCGUUAUAAAAAAAUUUAUUAAUAAUUUAAAUUUUUAAAUUUUAUUAAAAUAAUUUAUUUCAGAUCAAUAUGAAAUUAUAUAUUAAAAGUUUUAUGAGUUACUUUUUAUUAAAAUAGAUAUUUUUUAAUAUUUAAAUAUUUAAAUUAAAUGGAUUUAAUAGUAAUAAAUAUAAAUAAUUGUUUAUGAAUUUAGUUUUAUAAUAUGUACAUAUUGCCCGUCACUUCUAGAAAUAGGAUAAGUCGUAACAAAGUAAAUAUACUGGAAAGUGUAUUUAG